Long non-coding RNA from Cydia strobilella, 3233 nucleotides. RefSeq lists it as uncharacterized. The record is from RefSeq and is a predicted model, not a curated record. The transcript is spliced from 2 exons. Lineage: Eukaryota; Metazoa; Arthropoda; Insecta; Lepidoptera; Tortricidae.
AAGCUAAAAUUUAUUAUAGAAACUAAUAGGCACAUGAAUAGUAAAACUGAACAGCGUGUUGGACGUGCACGUAGCCUCGACCACUAGCACUAUCACUUAAGAAUUUAUGUUCCGAAUGAAAAGGACAAUAGAGGCCUCUAUUAAUCAAAUUAUACUUAUUCUAGUCAAUAUUCCCUCAACUUGGGAAUGCUAAAAGUACAUAUGGGCCCCUACACCUUUCGUCUACUUGUCUCAGUUCGCCGUUGCGCAUCUUGCACUUGACUGUGUGUCGAAGUGUCACCCAAGCAGCCAAUCAGAGUGCAUGUAGCGCCUGACCAUGUAUGUAGAGCUGAGGGCUUACCGCGAACCACGUUCGACGUGUUGUCUCCCUGUCACACUUGCGUACAAAUUUACAAGUGCGACGGAGAGGCGGUUCGCGGUAGGCCUUCUGGUGUUCAAGAGUAAUUUUUCGGCUGUCUUGGGUCGUCCAGGACGCUGGGAUGGGUCUGGCCAACUGGGUCUUGUAAUAACCACCGUGCCCGACCCACCACACUGUGCUCUGCUCAGUUUCGUGCCGUGGCUGUGUUAGACUCAGGUAUUCGGACUCCGAUUAUAGAAAAGGCAAAAUGAUGGCUCAAUGUCUGUUUUCUCUCACUGCGACAUGAGAUUCAGAUUUAAGAUUAAUUUCUCAGCACAAACGAAUAGUGCACAAGUUUUAGUGAACCCUUUUUAAAUGUUGUAAUCUUGUACUUUUAUAUGUACUUUUUUUUUAAGACAUCCGGGAUCCGGCCAGUCCUAUUUAGGCCUCAGUAGUAUAGCACAUAGUAAUAGGCCUAAUAUAAUGUAAUUAUAAUGCACUGUUUUCAAGACUGUACGGUUUUUCAUGAUGGGUACGACCAUGACCGGAUAAACCUUUAAACAGGGAGAUGUCCUUUGUAAGCUCGCCGCUACUUGCAAUAUGCCCGAAAAUGUAAUCUAGUCAUUAUAAGAAAAACUAUAUUUGACCUAGUUUAUAAUUCAAAUUUAAACCAAAGACUAGGAAAGUAACAAAAAAUGCAAACUGUUUAAAUAUUGUUAUUAUCAACUGAAAACUGACUGCUUUGUGGGACAAGUAAAAAAGUACAAAUAAAAUGAUGUGCACGAACUGGUAAAGUAAGCACAAAGAAUAUCAUACAGUGACCCGCCAUUUUUUAUCUCUAUCGUAUAAUAGGGUAUAUGACUACUGGUCAAACCAGUUUCUUUUUCGAACUGUCAACUUGCUUGCUUGGCACUACUAUGGAAUUUAUAUGAAACACUAGCAUGUGACGUCACAAUCAAAUUACCUACUCUUUAUAGUUUUAUACCGGUUCUAAAAUAGAAAUUGUAUCUUAAAAUAACUGCUGACUAUGUUACUCUAUUAAUCUUUUGGUGCUUUAUUUCAUGCAUGGUGUAAAAUAAUUUAUUUCAAAUACAGUGAAAUACCCUAUAGUACCUAAUGGAAGGAAAUUUGUUUAGUUCUAAGCAUUUUAGUUUAAGUAUUAAUUGUAAAUUAAAACUUGAAACAAUUUAUGUAAAGUAACGGCGAGAAACAUGUGGCAUCGGGUCUAACACAGCAAAGUACAAUGUCUCGUCUAAGCCCUUGUUCAUAUACUACCUAUAUUAUUUAACAAUGCUCAGAUACCGUCAUAGAGUAAAAUCCGAUGAUGCAGAAUUAUAAAGAUCGGUAUUUAAGAUAAUUUGUCACUUUACCGUUGUCUGGUUUAGAUAAAGCUUUGGCACCAUGUGCAUAAAGUUAGAAUGACAAAAAACAAAACCCAAAAAUCUGAGCAUUGUUACAUAAUAUUUCGAAUCGGUAAAUCACAGAUACUGAUUCCAUAAAUAUAUGUACAUUAUAAGGGCAUCUAGUCACUACACAGUUUCUUAACUGUGUUUUAAGACGACGACCAAAUUGAGCCAGCAUAGCGCACACAGCUAGCUAUAUGUUUCAGUCUUGAUAUAUAGUCGUGCCCAGGUCGGGAUCAAACCGCCAAUGGGUUGCAAUAACGACCCUACCUGUAAAUAGUCUCAGUAUAAUAUUAAUUAAUUUAAACGGGUACUAAUUUUGUAUAUAGUUAGGUUAAGGUAAGUAGGUGCGCCGUGGCAACUUCACUGGUCCACCGCUCUCCAAACUUGUCACUACGACGAUAUGUCACUACACAAAACAGUCACUACAACGCACGUCAUGACUUAUGUCACUACACACUUAGUCACAAUCAACGCCUUUGAACGCGGGCGGUACACAACAUGACAUACAUAUAUUUCAGUCAUCAAGUCAAGUGCUUGUCAUUAUACAUUCCGAUUAUUACCAUUUGACUUCCAAGUUAUCGUCAAUGCUUAUUGCAUAAAUAAGAACCUUAGAGUACAAAAGAAAUACUUAAUAAGUUCCAUAAGAAAUUCUUUAGCAGUCAAACCUUUUGGCUUUAACUGUCAGAGCAAUAAGUAUAAUAGUUACUUAUAAUAUAUCUUGAAAAUAGUCAUUACCAUGAACGUAAUUCAACUCAUUCAACAUAACUUUUAUGUUAUAACAAAAUAAUCAUAUUUAUAUAAGCAGAAAAAGUCAGUAGGUAAACAAUGCAUUUGGGUCCAAAUUAUUUUUGUUGUCUUAUUUUUGAUCGCUUUGUCACAGUUUGACUGAAAACAAAUUUAAGAAGCCAUUGUUAAAGUAUGAUUUUUGUUUUACGUAGUACGGCAUAUAUUCUCUUACCGAAAACUCCGCCUGGUCGAAUUUUUAGGCAAAAAAACCAUGACGCCUAAAUAAUUUCGACUCACCUACUUCAUAACACCUCGGCAGGAAAUUUGUCCUUACUCUUAAAUCCUAUUGGCUGUGUGCGAUGUGCCCGGUGGGAUAUAUCAUAUGCCUAGUCGUUAAUAGAGUAUUUAUGACAUAACCUAAUGUCCAUAUAGCCAAUACAAAUAUAAUGUGUAGGUGUAACCAUUAGCCAACCAAGUUUUCUGACCUUAAAUUAUCAAAUUGAAUCCACAAUUUCAUUUCACAAACAUCACAAUCACGAACUAUCCUUACACUGCCCAAUGACGUCGUGAUUUCAUGACGAAUAUCACGACGUCAAGUCGUCACCUACACGAUACGUCACAACAUCAUGAUACGUCAUGUCACAACAUGUCAAGUCACAAGUGGUCCCCCGGCGCACCGCGCAUCAACCCUCUAGUUAGAAGCAAUAAAGGUGGACCAAUCAAGUUUGCCUGAUGGAAGGUCAACGAAUAAAUCUGUUCAUGUA